This 5455-nucleotide long non-coding RNA is filed under the name Brassica rapa (field mustard). RNAcentral's name for it is "long non-coding RNA (BRAP_LNC006190)". Lineage: Eukaryota; Viridiplantae; Streptophyta; Magnoliopsida; Brassicales; Brassicaceae. The record is from RNAcentral.
GGAAAUCUUCCAACUAGAAGUAAAGAGGUUGAAGAAGGCUUAGGAGUGUGCAGGUUUUUUUUUUUUUUUUACGAAUCAGGUUUUAUACUUUUAACGUUUAGACUUUGUUGUGUGUUUGGCGAUUUUUUGUCGUUCUUGUAUAUAUUAAGAUCGUUCUGUUCUUUCUUAUCAAUAACUAAUGGAGCGGAAGUAACGAUAGUAGCCGAUAACACGAUGAUCCUAUUUAGUCUGCGAAUGCCUAAGAUCAAAGUCUUCUUGAGAUCGUUGAGAACACCUAUGUUCUAGCCGAUUGCAAGGAUUAAGAGAUGUUGUAAAACAAAGCUCUAAGUUUUUAUAAUUCAAUAAUCAAAGUCGUGUCUCUUACAAACCCAAGAGAUCACAUUAUAUAGCUAAUAGAAAUCCUAAAACUGAUAGGAUAAGAAACUAAAACGUAUUUAGAAAAGGAAUGGAAAGCUUUAACUAAAAAGGAAAUAAUAACAACAAAACCUAAGGGAAAUAGGAUGUACGCUACAUCAGGUCCCCUCCCCUACGGAAGAUUCGUCCACGAAUCCAGACAGUGCAGCAUCAUCUGGCUCAUGUUUGAACAAAUGCUUCACGUUGAAAACAUCGGCGGUAUGUAUAUGAGAUGGUAAUCGCAGACGAUAAGCAUUGGGAUUGAUCUUCUCGAGGAUUUCGACAGGACCGAUCUUUCGAGGCUUCAACUUAUUGUACUGGCCGGUAGGAAACCGUUCCUUAGUGAGGACGGCCCACACAUAGUCACCCACCUGCAAAUGUAGCUCGCGUCUGUGUUUAUCCGCAGCCUGCUUGUAUUUCAAGGCAGAAGCCUCCAAGUUAUUCUGCGCGACUGUAUGAACGAGAGCGAGUUCCUCCACAAGGUCAAGGGCUCGUCCAUGAAACUCACCGUUGUGAGGAAGAGAUGUUAAAGCCAAAGGCCCCCGCGGCACAAACCCAUAUACCACUUUGAACGGACUGAAGCCAAGGCUUCGGUUAUGCGCAUGGUUAUGGGCGAACUCUGCCUGGCACAAGAUAGAAUCCCAAGAUUUGAGGUUAUCGCCCACCAAACAACGCAACAUGUUACCCAAAGAACGAUUAACAACUUCAGUUUGACCGUCCGUUUGAGGAUGAUACGCGGAACUCAUAUUUAAGCUGGUUUUGAAAAGCUUCCACAAGGAUCUCCAAAAAUGGCUAAUGAAACGAGAAUCACGGUCGGAGACGAUAGAGACCGGAAGACCGUGUAAACGAUAAACCUCUCGAAAGAAAAGCUGAGCAACCUGAACAGCAUCCGUUGUCUUCUUACAAGGAAUAAAGUGCGCCAUUUUCGAGAAACGAUCUACUACCACAAAGAUGGAAUCGUUACCCCGUUGAGUUCGUGGUAGCCCCAGAACAAAAUCCAUACUUAUAUCGCUCCAUGGCUGUGUAGGAACGGGUAAUGGCAGGUAAAGGCCGGCAUUGGAAGCGUGGCCUUUGCUUCGUUGACACGUCGUACAUCGCGCCACAAACCUUUCUACAUCACGCCGCACUGUAGGCCAAAAGUAAGAAUCCAAGACUAGCUUAAGUGUGCGAUCACGACCGACGUGCCCCUCACCAUGUAACUCCCGAAUAAUCUGUAGGCGGAGACUACUCUCUGGUACGCAGAGCCUGUUGUCUUUGAAUACAAACCCGUCUACUAACGAGAAGUCAGAACGGACUCCCUGCGAUAAGUCUGCCCAAACCGAAGCAAAAUAAGGAUCCGUCGGGUACAGAUCAGCUAAAGACUCAAAACCCACGACCGAAACUCGCAAUGUAGAGACCAGGGCAUGGCGUCUACUUAAGGCGUCGGCUACUUUGUUCAGCUUCCCCGCCUGAUGCCGUAUGACGAAAGUAAACUGCUGUAAAUAGGCAGUCCACGAGGCGUGACGAGAAGAAAUCUUAUCUUGAGUUCCCAAAUACUUUAAGGCAACAUGAUCGGUAUAUAAGAUGAACUCUUUAUGCGCUAAAUAGUGACGCCAAUGCUUUAUGGCUUGGACUAUAGCAUAAAAUUCGAUAUCAUAGGUGCUGUAGCGGCUUCGUGCUCCCGCCAAUUUCUCACUAUAAAACGCCACCGGCUUCCCAUGUUGACUUAACACGGCGCCAAUACCUAGUUUCGAAGCAUCACAAUGCAGUUCAAAGGGUGAAUCAAAGUCGGGUAACACCAGAAUGGGAGCCGACGUGAGUUUAUCUUUGAUGAUAGUAAAUGCCUGACUUGCUUCGAUCGUCCAAGUAAACGAGACGCCUUUCAUACAGUCUGUAAUCGGUGCCAUUAUAGCGCUGAAGUUGUUGACAAAACGUCUAUAAAAAGAGGCGAGGCCAUGAAAGCUUCGGACGUCUGAGAUAGUCCUAGGUGUUGGCCAUGAUGCCACGGCUUCCACUUUCUGUGGAUCAACACGCAAGCCUGUUGAUGAUACUACGUACCCAAGGAACAAGACCUGUGGCGCCCCAAAUUCACACUUUUGCUUGGCAAUGAAUAGUUGUUCCUUACGUAGAGCUAGUAAGACGUCACGGAGAUGCCUGAGGUGUUCCUCUAGCGUGGUGCUGAAGAUAAGGAUGUCAUCAAAAUAGACGACCACAAACCGACCAAUAAAGGGUCGCAAGGCUUGAUUCAUGACACGCAUAAACGUGCUUGGUGCGUUAGAGAGACCAAACGGCAUAACUAACCAUUCGAACAAUCCCUCACGAGUUUUGAACGCAGUUUUCCACUCGUCUCCUGGGCGAAUUCGAAUCUGAUGGUAUCCGUUUUUGAGGUCCAAUUUGGUGAAGAUAGAAGCCUUUCCUAUUUGAUCUAAAAGAUCGUCAAGGCGUGGUAUCGGAAAUCUAUACCGUGUUGUGAUUUUGUUGAUAGCACGGCUAUCUACACACAUGCGCCAAGAGCGGUCUUUCUUCGGUAUGAGUAAAGCUGGGACAGCACAAGGGCUUAAACUCUCGCGAAUGUAACCUUUGCCGAGGAGGUCCUCUACUUGUCGCCGGAGCUCUUCAUGUUCUUCCGGACUCAUACGAUAAUGUGCACGAUUCGGUAACACCGCGUUGGGCACGAGAUCAAUAUGAUGUUGAAUGUCCCGUAAUGGUGGCAACCCGGACGGCAGUUCCUCUGGGAAAAGAUCGUCGAACUCGUGUAAAAGAGGAGAAAACACCGGUGGGCAUGGGAUUUUUUGUGAUGGUGGUGGUGUGACAGCGACCAAAGCGAACAGAGGGCUUGACUCGCGGAGUUCCUGCUCGAACUGUGACCUAGUAAUGAUCAAUAAGUUUUGUUUUGGUGAAGUUUGUUUACUGGGGCUGGAGACUGAUAAGUCUGUCUCUGGUGCCGGAAGCAAUGUGAUUUUGCGUCCCUCAAACAUAAAAGAAUGGGUGUUUGCUUUGCCGUUGUGGAGAACCUCUCUAUCGUAUUGCCAUGGUCGUCCUAAGAUGAUAUGAGAGACAUCCAUUGGUGCGAUGUCACAAUAUAGAUUGUCUUUGUAAAAAGACCCGAUAGAGAGAGAUACCAUUGUUCGUUGAGAAACAAAUACUUCUGCACCGGUUUGCAUCCAUAAUAAUCGGUAAGGGUGUGGAUGCGCCUCGGGUGUAAGUGCAAGUUUACGAACUGCUUCUUCUGAAACCACAUUUGCUGAACAACCCGAAUCAAUCACGAAGCGACAAAUCUUGCCUUUGAUGGUGCAAGUAGAGGUAAACAAUGACGUGCGCUCCCAAGCCUCGGUGGUUUUUGGAGCAAGACAGUUGCGGCGAAGCAUGAGAAAAGUCCCUGUAUCACCAUGCACUUGUUCUUCUUCGGCCUCAUCGAAUUGUUCCUCGUCUUCAUCAUAAAUAGGUUCACCAAUUAUUUCUCGAUCAUUGGCAAGUAACCCUCGGCGACCUUUGUUAGGGCAAGCCGUUUGUAUGUGUCCGCGUUCACCACAGGUAAAACAACGGAGGGCGUUGGGCCGGGAAGGUCGAGUAUUCACCGCAGGUUCUGUUGCCGCAGAAGUAGUUUCUGCUGGUUUCACUUGUGUUCCUGUAGUGUCUCGGCCCGUAGAAGAUUUUGUGUCGUCCGUGGUGGUUGUGGUUGUACGCGGUCGUGAAUUCCCCGUCCAUUGACCUGUACUGAUGCGAGUUUGCUGUUCCACCAAAAGAGCUCUCUGGCGGGCUUCAGCAACAGAGCCCGGAUCGAACUGGUGCAGCAUAUUUUGAAGUUGAGGUCGUAAACCGGCAAUAAAGCGAGCAACAAGCUGAUCUUCUGAAUCCUGGAUAUCAACUCGUGUGAGUAGUUGAUAGAACUCAUUGGCAUAGUCUUCCACAGAACGCGACCCUUGUCGUAUGUUGUGAAACUUCUGAAACAAAAGCCGUUCAAAAUUAUAUGGAAUAAAGGUUUUCCGCAAAUGUUUCUUAAGCUUGUCCCACGAAGUUAUCUUUUCUUUCCCUCGUCUGGUACGAGUUAAUUUGAGCUGAUUCCACCAAGAGGCGGCAUGCCCUCGGAAUCGUGUGGCAAUUAAAGAGACUUGUCUGUUGCCUGGUACUUCUUUGAAUUCUAAGAAUUCAUCGACCGUAACUAUCCAGUCAAGGAGGUCUUCAGGUUGCGACCCUCCAUGAAAUUCGGGGAUGUCAACUUUAAUACCCGUGGUCCAGCGUGUGUCAUUGUGGCGUCGUGGUUGCUGGUCUCGACCAAGAUGCUGUUGUUGAUUGUUAAUGUCGUCUCCGAAUGGAUUGUCAUCGUCGGACUCGUCAUUAGCUUCGUCGAAAACAGGAUUGUGGUGUUGUCGAUGGCGUUGUUGUGGUGCUGCGGGUGCUGCGUUAGCUGGAGCGGCGUUGGCGACAAAAGCCGCUUGAACCCCAGCUUGUACUCCGGCUUGAAUUGCUUCAGCCAUCGUUCGUCUCAUGUUGUCUUGAAAACUUUCCUGGAAAUCUUCCAGAAAUUGUUGCAUCUGCGUCCACUCAUUAGGACGAGGUGCCAUUGAACCAAAGAUCGAUAAUCACGAAUAGAAUCGUAAUAGAUGGUCUCUGAUACCAACUAAUGGAGCGGAAGUAACGAUAGUAGCCGAUAACACGAUGAUCCUAUUUAGUCUGCGAAUGCCUAAGAUCAAAGUCUUCUUGAGAUCGUUGAGAACACCUAUGUUCUAGCCGAUUGCAAGGAUUAAGAGAUGUUGUAAAACAAAGCUCUAAGUUUUUAUAAUUCAAUAAUCAAAGUCGUGUCUCUUACAAACCCAAGAGAUCACAUUAUAUAGCUAAUAGAAAUCCUAAAACUGAUAGGAUAAGAAACUAAAACGUAUUUAGAAAAGGAAUGGAAAGCUUUAACUAAAAAGGAAAUAAUAACAACAAAACCUAAGGGAAAUAGGAUGUACGCUACAUCAAUAACACAGUCUCUCUCUCUAAUUUCUUAUACUGUUUGAGCUUUGUUGAAACAGUAAGCAAGAAAAAAAGAGUUCAGAUUCUGAGUAGCGUUAGGUAACAUUUUGUCAACUAUGGACAAAAG